Molecule: non-coding RNA, 22 nt
Filed under: Arabidopsis thaliana (thale cress)
Lineage: Eukaryota; Viridiplantae; Streptophyta; Magnoliopsida; Brassicales; Brassicaceae
Source: RNAcentral
UUGGCGGUACUGACGUGUGCCU